UAACAUGUCUCGGCGCCACCAAACGCACACGCGAGAAACCAUUAAACAAAGUGACGAAAAAGACGCCGGAAACACAAAGAAAAUCAUUGUUCUUUCUUUGACUCUCCUAGAGAGAACAGUCAUAACUGCUGGAAGUCAUAGUCUGUAUCUGCUACACACCGAACAAAGCUAAAUAAACAUCACAAUUGUUACUUGAUGUGCAAAGUUUCUCUCUACAUAGUGGAUUGUCAAUGAUAAACCCACAGACACCGUCUACUUCUAUUAUUAUCAAGACUCUUUAAGAUAGCGCGUGCUGGCACAAAUUGCCAAGAAGUUCGUCAUUCUGCUGAUUACAAAUAAUCAUUGCUUCUCAAGUCAAUUUCGAUUUACAUCCCAAAUGAGUAUUUUGGAACCACCAUAGAACUUCUUAAGUAGUAAGUGAACAAAUUCAAGUCGCUUUAGUAUCCGUUAUUGUAGUUGGGUUUAGGCCAAAGUAUUUUGAAAACUAUGAAUGCUUUUUAUCUUUUAUCUCUCAUUAUAUACAAACUUACUCUCGUUCAUUUGAAUGACUUUCGAUGCUCGGUAAAACUGAAUUACUCUGCUCUGCUUUAAUUUACCUUACAAAUUUUAUAAUAUUUAAAUUUACAAUAUACGAUACAAAAUAUUAAAGUAAGUACAACAUAACCAUAUAUAUGAUACAAGCUACAAUAUAUAUAUAAUAAUAUAUUACAUAAUAUAUAUAUAAUAUAGUUGUUACAGUAUUAUUUCUACCAUUUUUUCGACACUUACAUAUAAAUGAACAUUUUAUAGUAUAACAUGUAAUCCUACAUUAUGCUGGCAAUGAAAGUUUCAAAUCGGCAUAAGUUACGGAUCAUAAUUUUUCCAAUAAGUUAUUAGCGAGCAUGACCAUUAGUAAUUCUGUUUUAGGAUUUUUAAUUACCUUUUUUCUUUGUUUUCUUAUAUUAUGCAUGCUUGUUUUUAUUAGCUACGCUUAAGAUCUUAUUUUGGUGACGAAACACUUUCGAAUUAAUUAUUUGGUAGAAGUUAAAAAAAAAAACAAUUCCCUUAUAAUUCCUCCAAAUAGAAAGCAUCUCUUUUAUUGAUGAAUAUUGGUUUUCGAAGUACUCAUCGUUUCUGCUCCAUGAUUUCUCGUCUCCAGUUAUGAUUUAGCUUUAAAAAUGGAUCAUUUUUUUGACGUUUGAGAAGCAAAUCAUAAUGCGACGGAUCAAUCUCUUUCUAUAAGGAUAUAUGGAACCCAUAUAUCGAUCUUUGAAAUAAAAUCAAGUCGUUUCACAUGAUUAUAAAUGGUCAGAUUCGACAGAUUUAAUCUCUUAGCGAUGUCUUGUGUUAUUAUUGGGUAGUUUGCAGUAACUUUAUUUUUAGUCUUUAUCAGCUUCAAUUGGCCUUCCAGGACGUGAUGCAUCUUCAAUAUCAAAAUUGCCGGAACGAAAUUUUUCAAAUCAGUUUGAGCACUGUUACGUUAAGACAUCUUUUCUAGAUAUGUCACAUAACUUUUCCCUCGCUUGAACAGCAUUUUUAUCUUUUUGGUAAUAAAAAAGCAAAAUAUGCCAAAAAUGUUGCUUUUGAUUUUUCAUUUUUGAUAAGACA
Vespa mandarinia (Asian giant hornet) is the source of this 1587-nucleotide long non-coding RNA. The record is from RefSeq and is a predicted model, not a curated record. Lineage: Eukaryota; Metazoa; Arthropoda; Insecta; Hymenoptera; Vespidae.